Molecule: long non-coding RNA, 1952 nt
Filed under: Homo sapiens (human)
Lineage: Eukaryota; Metazoa; Chordata; Mammalia; Primates; Hominidae
Description: HSALNT0252296
Source: RNAcentral
GGACUCUGGUGUGGGUGGGAAGAGCACAGUGGGAGGGUUGGGGCAGGGGCACGGCCUUGGGACUAGAGUAGGUGGAGGCAGUGGGGCGGGGAGGAGGAAAAGAAGGAAGGAAGAGGCCGGUCAGAGGAAGCCCAAAAGUGGAUUCCUGGACACACAGUAAAAAGGGGAGGACGACUUAAAGACGGUUUCCAGAUGUGGGGGUCUGGGGAGAAGGGAAGCUUUUACAGCUGCUGACAGAGGCUGACAGAUGCAGAGAGGGCUCGUGGUGAGCUGGCUGAAUUCGGGGUAAACAAGAGGAGAUUUCAUGCUUCACCUCAGAUGAGGAAAUAGGACUAGGAAUACAGUUUUAUGAUUGAAGCCGUGACAGAAAAGCCUUUCCAAAGGAGCACAGUGGAGGAGAGAACUGGAGAAGAGGCACGGAGACCGCCAAGCGUUCCAGGUGCAGGCGGCAGGAGGGAGCCCAGGAUGCCGGCAGAGCGAGCCUUGGUCUGUGAACCCCAGGGCCGAUGGGCACCGGCUCAUCUAAUUCAUUUGUGUACAGAUCCACAAAACUGCACCUGGCUGUGGCCGUCAGUAAGUGCUAUAUAAAUGCUUCAUAAGUGUUUGUUGAAGGAAGUUGAAAUGUAGUCGUCAGAAGAGUGAGAGGGAAACCAGCGACAGAGCCUUGUAAGUCUAAGAAAAAGAAUUCAAAGAUGGUCAAGAGCUAACAUUGCACAGGGAAUUACAGUAUUUCCGGAAGACCAAGGGCAACUCUGAUUGUUCCAGACUGCCUGGGAGCACCAGAGUCUGAUUGUUCCAGACUGCCUGGGAGCACCAGAGUCUGAUUGUUCCAGACUGCCUGGGAGCACCAGAGGUCUGGGUGGGGGCAGGAGUCAGUCCACCUGGAACUUCUGCCUCCAGUGCACUGAGUCUGCACGGACCACCAGGGCUGACACUGCCUUACUUAAUAUGGGGGUGGGGGAAGUCCCUGCGAUAUAUAAUGGUCUCAAUUUAAAUUCUGUGCUGUUUUUAUUUUAGCUGUGUAAUUUGGAAACUUCAAAUAAAAAGCCUGAAAGGAAAGUUGGACUAUUUAAGCUUACACAGACUCUAUUAAUGCUAUAUGGUUAUUCUACCCCUGACUUUGGAAGAAGGAGAAACUGGCAUGGGAAUACACUUUUCUAAAAAAAAUACUAUUUAAAAAUAUGAAAGUUUAUUUAACAUCUAAGGAAAGGUACUUAAUUAGAGGGACACUCAACAAGAAGAAUUGAGGAUCUAAGUAAAUAGUCCCCAUCUGCUCCUGGUCCUACCACCUGGCGAUUACUUCCUCUUCUUCUCUGAUAGAUUUUAGCCAACCAAUUUUGUUUUAUUUGUGCAAGUUGAGAGGCCACCUGUUAUGGAAUAUACUUCCACAUUAAACAAAGUGAACAUUUCCUAUUUCUGUGCUUCCCAUAUGAUUUUUAAAACACAAAGCACUCACUUUCACCUUAAACAGAUUUAAGAAAUGCUGACUCUGAUGAACAGGUAUAAACAAGGCAAUCUUUUGUUUAUGAAAAUUGUUAACGACCUACCCACAGAAAGACAUGCCCUGCGCCACACUGUACCCCCCACCCCCGCCCACCCGGCUCCCCGAUGCUGGUGAAUUAAUCUAUCCACACGUUUUUGCUCAUUUCCCUGGCUGUUACCAGCUGAAGUGAAGAAAAGACAUUUUACAAGGGGACAUGGUAUAUUUGUGCUAAAACAGGCACCACACAAAUCCAGAGAAAGGAGCCAAAAGGAAAUACCAGGCAGAGGGAACAGCGUGGAUAAAGGCAAAGCUGAGAAGAGGUUCUGAAGGAUGGAAUCCCAGAUCAAGGAGCCAGCAGAUGUGGUGGUGUGGACCCACUUCCUGGUUCAUAGAGGACCUUCCCACUGUGCCCUCAUACAGUGAAGGGGUAAGAGAGCUCCGUGGGGUCUCUUUUAGAAGGGCACUAAAC